UAAUACCGCAUAAUGUCGCAAGACCAAAGAGGGGGACCUUCGGGCCUCUUGCCAUCAGAUGUGCCCAGAUGGGAUUAGCUAGUAGGUGGGGUAACGGCUCACCUAGGCGACGAUCCCUAGCUGGUCUGAGAGGAUGACCAGCCACACUGGAACUGAGACACGGUCCAGACUCCUACGGGAGGCAGCAGUGGGGAAUAUUGCACAAUGGGCGCAAGCCUGAUGCAGCCAUGCCGCGUGUAUGAAGAAGGCCUUCGGGUUGUAAAGUACUUUCAGCGGGGAGGAAGGUGUUGUGGUUAAUAACCGCAGCAAUUGACGUUACCCGCAGAAGAAGCACCGGCUAACUCCGUGCCAGCAGCCGCGGUAAUACGGAGGGUGCAAGCGUUAAUCGGAAUUACUGGGC
This 400-nucleotide ribosomal RNA is filed under the name Enterobacter cloacae. RNAcentral describes it as "bacterial SSU rRNA". It matches the Rfam family "Bacterial small subunit ribosomal RNA", at positions 164 to 559 of the family's 1533-position model. The record is from RNAcentral. Lineage: Bacteria; Pseudomonadati; Pseudomonadota; Gammaproteobacteria; Enterobacterales; Enterobacteriaceae.